This 253-nucleotide ribosomal RNA is filed under the name Eisenbergiella massiliensis. Its description in RNAcentral is "partial 16S ribosomal RNA". It matches the Rfam family "Bacterial small subunit ribosomal RNA", at positions 524 to 776 of the family's 1533-position model. The record is from RNAcentral. Lineage: Bacteria; Bacillati; Bacillota; Clostridia; Lachnospirales; Lachnospiraceae.
UACGUAGGGGGCAAGCGUUAUCCGGAUUUACUGGGUGUAAAGGGAGCGUAGACGGCAUGGCAAGCCAGAUGUGAAAACCCAGGGCUCAACCCUGGGACUGCAUUUGGAACUGUCAGGCUGGAGUGCAGGAGAGGUAAGCGGAAUUCCUAGUGUAGCGGUGAAAUGCGUAGAUAUUAGGAGGAACACCAGUGGCGAAGGCGGCUUACUGGACUGUAACUGACGUUGAGGCUCGAAAGCGUGGGGAGCAAACAGG